GAUGAACGCUGGCGGCGUGCCUAAUACAUGCAAGUCGAGCGAACAGAUAAGGAGCUUGCUCCUUUGACGUUAGCGGCGGACGGGUGAGUAACACGUGGGUAACCUACCUAUAAGACUGGAAUAACUCCGGGAAACCGGGGCUAAUGCCGGAUAACAUGUUGAACCGCAUGGUUCUACAGUGAAAGGCGGCUUUGCUGUCACUUAUAGAUGGACCCGCGCCGUAUUAGCUAGUUGGUGAGGUAACGGCUCACCAAGGCAACGAUACGUAGCCGACCUGAGAGGGUGAUCGGCCACACUGGAACUGAGACACGGUCCAGACUCCUAUGGGAGGCAGCAGUAGGGAAUCUUCCGCAAUGGGCGAAAGCCUGACGGAGCAACGCCGCGUGAGUGAUGAAGGUCUUCGGAUCGUAAAACUCUGUUAUUAGGGAAGAACAAAUGCGUAAGUAACUGUGCGCGUCUUGACGGUACCUAAUCAGAAAGCCACGGCUAACUACGUG
RNAcentral lists this ribosomal RNA (497 nucleotides) under uncultured bacterium. RNAcentral describes it as "partial 16S ribosomal RNA". It matches the Rfam family "Bacterial small subunit ribosomal RNA", at positions 28 to 507 of the family's 1533-position model. The record is from RNAcentral.